UCGAGGAUCUUCGGCAAUGGGCGCAAGCCUGACCGAGCGACGCCGCGUGUGGGAUGAAGGCCUUCGGGUUGUAAACCACUGUCAGUGAGGAGGAAGGCUCCGUGAAGAGCGGGGUUUGACCUAUUCGCAGAGGAAGUGUGGGCUAAGCUCGUGCCAGCAGCCGCGGUAAGACGAGCCACACAAACGUUAUUCGGAAUUACUGGGCUUAAAGGGUGCGUAGGCGGCGCGGUAAGUGGGGUGUGAAAGCCCUCGGCUCAACCGAGGAACUGCGCUCCAAACUACCGUGCUUGAGUGAGACAGAGGUAAGCGGAACUUCGGGUGGAACGGUGAAAUGUGUUGAUAUCCGAAGGAACACCGGUGGCGAAAGCGGCUUACUGGGUCUCAACUGACGCUGAUGCACGAAAGCCAGGGUAGCAAACGG
Molecule: ribosomal RNA, 421 nt
Filed under: uncultured bacterium
Lineage: Bacteria
Description: bacterial SSU rRNA
Rfam family: Bacterial small subunit ribosomal RNA
Source: RNAcentral